RNAcentral lists this ribosomal RNA (240 nucleotides) under uncultured bacterium. Its description in RNAcentral is "partial 16S ribosomal RNA". It matches the Rfam family "Bacterial small subunit ribosomal RNA", at positions 96 to 339 of the family's 1533-position model. The record is from RNAcentral.
UGGCGAACGGGUGAGUAAUAUAUCGGAACGUACCUUAUCGUGGGGGAUAACGCAGCGAAAGCUGCGCUAAUACCGCAUACGCCCUGAGGGGGAAAGCGGGGGACCGUAAGGCCUCGCGCGAUUAGAGCGGCCGAUAUCUGAUUAGCUUGUUGGUGGGGUAAAAGCCCACCAAGGCGACGAUCAGUAGCUGGUCUGAGAGGACGAUCAGCCACACUGGGACUGAGACACGGCCCAGACUCC